This 253-nucleotide ribosomal RNA is filed under the name uncultured bacterium. RNAcentral describes it as "partial 16S ribosomal RNA". It matches the Rfam family "Bacterial small subunit ribosomal RNA", at positions 524 to 776 of the family's 1533-position model. The record is from RNAcentral.
GACGUAGGGGACGAGCGUUGUCCGGAUUCAUUGGGCGUAAAGCGCGCGUAGGCGGCCACGCAAGUCGGGUGUGAAAUCCCGGAGCUCAACUCCGGAACUGCACUCGAAACUGCGCGGCUUGAGGUAGGUAGGGGAGAUCGGAAUUCCUGGUGUAGCGGUGGAAUGCGCAGAUAUCAGGAGGAACACCGAUGGCGAAGGCAGGUCUCUGGGCCACUACUGACGCUGAGAAGCGAAAGCAUGGGGAGCGAACAGG